Molecule: ribosomal RNA, 370 nt
Filed under: uncultured organism
Description: bacterial SSU rRNA
Rfam family: Bacterial small subunit ribosomal RNA
Source: RNAcentral
CGAAGGGGGCUAGCGUUGUUCGGAAUUACUGGGCGUAAAGCGCGCGCAGGCGGCUCUUCAAGUCAGAGGUGAAAGCCCAGGGCUCAACCCUGGAAUGGCCUUUGAGACUAGAGAACUAGGGUACGGGAGAGGUGAGUGGAAUUCCGAGUGUAGAGGUGAAAUUCGUAGAUAUUCGGAAGAACACCAGUGGCGAAGGCGGCUCACUGGCCCGUUACCGACGCUCAGGCGCGACAGCGUGGGGAGCAAACAGGAUUAGAUACCCUGGUAGUCCACGCCGUAAACGAUGGAUGCUAGCCGUUGGUAAGCAUGCUUAUCAGUGGCGCAGCUAACGCAUUAAGCGUCCCGCCUGGGGAGUACGGCCGCAAGGUUG